GAUGAACGCUGGCGGCGUGCCUAAUACAUGCGAGUCGAGCGAACGGACGAGAAGCUUGCUUCUCUGAUGUUAGCGGCGGACGGGUGAGUAACACGUGGAUAACCUACCUAUAAGACUGGGAUAACUUCGGGAAACCGGAGCUAAUACCGGAUGAUAUUUUGAACCGCAUGGUUCAAAAGUGAAAGACGGUCUUGCUGUCACUUCUAGAUGGAUCCGCGCUGCAUUAGCUAGUUGGUAAGGUAACGGCUUACCAAGGCAACGAUGCAUAGCCGACCUGAGAGGCUGAUCGGCGACACUGGAACUGAGCCACGGUCCAGACUACUAAGGGAGGCAGCAGUAGGGAAUCUUACGCAAUGGGCGAAAGCCUGACGGAGCAACGCCGCGUGAGUGAUGGCGAUCUUCGGAUCGUAAAACUCUGUUAUUAGGGAAGAACAUCUGUGUAAGUAACUGUGCACAUCUUGACGGUACCUAAUCAGAAAGCCACGGCUAACUACGUG
This 497-nucleotide ribosomal RNA is filed under the name uncultured bacterium. Its description in RNAcentral is "partial 16S ribosomal RNA". It matches the Rfam family "Bacterial small subunit ribosomal RNA", at positions 28 to 507 of the family's 1533-position model. The record is from RNAcentral.